GUGGGGAAUUUUGGACAAUGGGCGAAAGCCUGAUCCAGCAAUGCCGCGUGCAGGAUGAAGGCCCUCGGGUUGUAAACUGCUUUUGUACGGAACGAAAAGCUCUGGGCUAAUACCCUGGAGUCAUGACGGUACCGUAAGAAUAAGCACCGGCUAACUACGUGCCAGCAGCCACGGUAAUACGUAGGGUGCAAGCGUUAAUCGGAAUUACUGGGCGUAAAGCGUGCGCAGGCGGUUUUGUAAGACAGUGGUGAAAUCCCCGGGCUCAACCUGGGAAGUGCGCUUGUGACGGCAAGGCUGGAGUGCGGCAGAGUGGGAUGGAAUUCCGCGUGUAGCAGUGAAAUGCGUAGAUAUGCGGAGGAAAACCGAUGGCGAAGGCAAUCCACUGGGCCUGCACUGACGCUCAUGCACGAGAGCGUGGGGAGCAAACAGGAUUAGAAACCCUGGUAGUCC
Molecule: ribosomal RNA, 450 nt
Filed under: uncultured bacterium
Lineage: Bacteria
Description: bacterial SSU rRNA
Rfam family: Bacterial small subunit ribosomal RNA
Source: RNAcentral